GAUGAACGCUGGCGGCGUGCCUAACACAUGCAAGUCGUACGAGCUCGAUCUUCGGAACGGGUUAGUGGCGCACGGUGAGUAACACGUAGGUGACCUACCCCAGAGUGGGGAUAACUUCUCGAAAGAGAGGCUAAUACCGCAUACACUCGGUCAUUCAUUUGGCCGAGCAAAGCUCUGGCGCUUUGGGACGGGCCUGCGUCCGAUUAGCUAGUUGGUAGGGUAAUGGCUUACCAAGGCUUUGAUCGGUAGCUGGUCUGAGAGGACGAUCAGCCACACUGGCACUGACACACGGGCCAGACUCCUACGGGAGGCAGCAGUGAGGAAUAUUGGGCAAUGGGCGAAAGCCUGACCCAGCAACGCCGCGUGAGGGAUGAAGGCCUUCGGUUGUAAACCUCUUUCUGGGAGAAGAGACAAGACGGUAUCCCACGGAAUAAAGUCUCGGCUAACUAACGUGCCAGCAGCCGCGGUAA
This 470-nucleotide ribosomal RNA is filed under the name uncultured bacterium. RNAcentral's name for it is "bacterial SSU rRNA". It matches the Rfam family "Bacterial small subunit ribosomal RNA", at positions 28 to 523 of the family's 1533-position model. The record is from RNAcentral.